UAGGAAUAUUCGUCAAUGGGGGAAACCCUGAACGAGCAAUGCCGCGUGAACGAUGAAGGCCCUCUGGAUUGUAAAGUUCCGUUGUUAUGGAAGAACUGUAAGAUUAGGAAUGAAUCUUACUUGACGGUACAUUUCAAGAAAGCCACGGCUAACUAC
RNAcentral lists this ribosomal RNA (156 nucleotides) under uncultured bacterium. RNAcentral's name for it is "partial 16S ribosomal RNA". It matches the Rfam family "Bacterial small subunit ribosomal RNA", at positions 356 to 504 of the family's 1533-position model. The record is from RNAcentral.